This is a non-coding RNA of Maylandia zebra (zebra mbuna), 83 nucleotides long. NCBI's taxonomy places the organism in Eukaryota, Metazoa, Chordata, Actinopteri, Cichliformes, Cichlidae. The record is from the annotation of a RefSeq genome assembly.
GUCAGGAUGGCCGAGUGGUCUAAGGUGCUGUGUUCAGAUCGCAGUCUCUCCCAGAGGCGUGGGUUCAAAUCCCACUCCUGACA